GCAGCAGCCGCGGUAAUACGGAGGGAGCUAGCGUUGUUCGGAAUUACUGGGCGUAAAGCGCGCGUAGGCGGUUACUCAAGUCAGAGGUGAAAGCCCGGGGCUCAACCCCGGAACUGCCUUUGAAACUAGGUGACUAGAAUCUUGGAGAGGUCAGUGGAAUUCCGAGUGUAGAGGUGAAAUUCGUAGAUAUUCGGAAGAACACCAGUGGCGAAGGCGACUGACUGGACAAGUAUUGACGCUGAGGUGCGAAAGCGUGGGGAGCAAACAGGAUUAGAUACCCGAGUAGUCCCUGUCUCUUAUAC
This 302-nucleotide ribosomal RNA is filed under the name uncultured bacterium. RNAcentral's name for it is "partial 16S ribosomal RNA". It matches the Rfam family "Bacterial small subunit ribosomal RNA", at positions 508 to 807 of the family's 1533-position model. The record is from RNAcentral.